UUGUUUCUGCCUUGUCUGCAGCCCAGUGAUUGCAAUAGUAUAUAAGAAGUACCCCAAAAGUAGCAGUGCCACUGCAAUUACAAUGCCUACGAUACACCAUAUCCACCAUUCUCUCUUUGUACUUCCUUUUUCGACAUCCAGACCCAUUGUGAUAUAAAGGUCCGUAGCCGACACAGGUGCAAUCACUCCAGCAAGUUGCGUGACAAUCGCUAAGAUCCAAGUUAGUAUUACUAUCAUUAUACGUCAACUUAGCAUCACCUGAGUAGCCUCUCAUCGGUAGAAAUAGCUCAGAACCAUUCCUGCAUUCAGAGGUCGUCUGCUUUAUGCACACUGCAUCCAGAUAAUUUGGGUUGGACGUACAUGGACUUGUAGCUGUGGUUUCCCAUGUAGUACCGUCUGAGCCUAAAAUUGACUGCAUGAGUUGGCCCCAAGUAUUGAGUUCCCAUCUCGAAAGAGUUGAGUUGUUUUUAACAGUAUAAGUGAAGUACUUCUCCUCUGCAUUUGAAACAAAAUUGAACUCGAACAAAUCAGCCCUGCUUGUGAGUUCAGGGGCCCUCUGAAAACUUCCACUUUCCCAGAUCCCACUGGUCCAGUAUACAACGUCUCGCCGCCAGAUGAUUAACCGGUUGGUGCUACUGGGAUCCACACUAAGCCUGAAAGCACCU
RNAcentral lists this small RNA (665 nucleotides) under Malus domestica (apple). Its description in RNAcentral is "sRNA MD02G0042400". The record is from RNAcentral. Lineage: Eukaryota; Viridiplantae; Streptophyta; Magnoliopsida; Rosales; Rosaceae.